This 361-nucleotide ribosomal RNA is filed under the name Ixodes ricinus (castor bean tick). Its description in RNAcentral is "partial 16S ribosomal RNA". The stretch from base 66 to 361 matches the Rfam family "Bacterial large subunit ribosomal RNA", at positions 2078 to 2619 of the family's 2925-position model. The record is from RNAcentral. Lineage: Eukaryota; Metazoa; Arthropoda; Arachnida; Ixodida; Ixodidae.
AAAAGCUUUCUUUAAUUGAAUAAUUGAAUUUAAUUUUUUAGUGCAAAAGCAAAAAUAAAAAUUAGGGACAAGAAGACCCUAUGAAUUUUUUAUUAAAUUUUAUAAAACUUUAUAUAAAAUUUAAUUUAAUUGGGGUGAUGGAAAAAGAAUAAAUAUCUUUUUUUUAAAAAAAAUUGGUUCCGUUUUUAGCGAUUAAAUGAAAAAAAUACUCUAGGGAUAACAGCGUAAUAAUUUUGGAUAGUUCAUAUAGAUAAAAUAGUUUGCGACCUCGAUGUUGGAUUAGGAUUCUUUUUUGGUGAAGAAGUUAAAAAAAGAAGUUUGUUCAACUUAUAAUUUCCUACUUGAUCUGAGUUCAGACCGG